CUAGUGAGCAUAAGCGGUUAGUAUAUGGUGCUGUGCAAGCACAUAUGCGGGACAUUGCUCUGCAG
This 65-nucleotide non-coding RNA is filed under the name Acinetobacter populi. Its description in RNAcentral is "Xanthine-I sequence". It matches the Rfam family "Xanthine riboswitch aptamer (NMT1 RNA)". Rfam says of the family: Later it was reported as a ncRNA that recognised Xanthine. The record is from Rfam by way of RNAcentral. Lineage: Bacteria; Pseudomonadati; Pseudomonadota; Gammaproteobacteria; Moraxellales; Moraxellaceae.